AGAGUUUGAUCCUGGCUCAGGAUGAACGCUAGCGGCAGGCUUAAUACAUGCAAGUCGUGGGGCAGCGGGGGUAGCAAUACCUGCCGGCGACCGGCAAACGGGUGAGGAACAUGUACGCAACCUUCCUUUAACUGGAGAAUAGCCCCUCGAAAGAGGGAUUAAUACUCCGUAAUAUAUUGAUAAGGCAUCUUGUUAAUAUAAUAGCUCCGGCGGUUAAAGAUGGGCGUGCACCUGAUUAGAUAGUUGGCGGGGUAAUGGCCCACCAAGUCUGCGAUCAGUAAUUGGUGUGAGAGCACGACCAGUCACACGGGCACUGAGACACGGGCCCGACUCCUACGGGAGGCAGCAGUAAGGAAUAUUGGUCAGUGGACGCAAGUCUGAACCAGCCAUGCCGCGUGGAGGAUUAAGGCCCUCUGGGUUGUAAACUCCUUUUAUCUGGGAAGAAAUGUCUGCAUUCUUGCGGACUUGACGGUACCAGAGGAAUAAGCACCGGCUAACUCCGUGCCAGCAGCCGCGGUAAUACGGAGGGUGCAAGCGUUAUCCGGAUUCACUGGGUUUAAAGGGUGCGUAGGCGGAUAGGUAAGUCAGUGGUGAAAUCUCCGAGCUUAACUCGGAAACUGCCGUUGAUACUAUUUGUCUUGAAUAUUGUGGAGGUAAGCGGAAUAUGUCAUGUAGCGGUGAAAUGCUUAGAUAUGACAUAGAACACCAAUUGCGAAGGCAGCUUACUACACAAUUAUUGACGCUGAGGCACGAAAGCGUGGGGAUCAAACAGGAUUAGAUACCCUGGUAGUCCACGCCCUAAACGAUGAUUACUCGACAUACGCGAUAUACUGUGUGUGUCUGAGCGAAAGCAUUAAGUAAUCCACCUGGGAAGUACGACCGCAAGAUUGAAACUCAAGGGAAUUGACGG
This 910-nucleotide ribosomal RNA is filed under the name uncultured bacterium. RNAcentral's name for it is "bacterial SSU rRNA". It matches the Rfam family "Bacterial small subunit ribosomal RNA", at positions 8 to 916 of the family's 1533-position model. The record is from RNAcentral.